AUACAGAGGGUGCGAGCGUUAAUCGGAAUUACUGGGCGUAAAGCGCGCGUAGGCGGUUGAUUAAGUCAGAUGUGAAAUCCCAGGGCUCAACCUUGGAACUGCAUCUGAUACUGGUCAGCUAGAGUUUAGGAGAGGGAAGUAGAAUUUCAGGUGUAGCGGUGAAAUGCAUAGAUAUCUGAAGGAAUACCAGUGGCGAAGGCGGCUUCCUGGCCUAAAACUGACGCUGAGGUGCGAAAGCGUGGGUAGCAAACGGGAUUAGAUACCCCUGUAGUCC
Molecule: ribosomal RNA, 274 nt
Filed under: uncultured bacterium
Lineage: Bacteria
Description: partial 16S ribosomal RNA
Rfam family: Bacterial small subunit ribosomal RNA
Source: RNAcentral